GCUAGCGUAGCUUAACAUUAAAGCAUAGCACUGAAGAUGCUAAGAUGAGCCCUAAAAAGCUCCGCAUGCAC
Molecule: transfer RNA, 71 nt
Filed under: Botia dario (Bengal loach)
Lineage: Eukaryota; Metazoa; Chordata; Actinopteri; Cypriniformes; Botiidae
Description: tRNA-Phe
Rfam family: tRNA
About the family: Transfer RNA (tRNA) molecules are approximately 80 nucleotides in length. Their secondary structure includes four short double-helical elements and three loops (D, anti-codon, and T loops).
Source: RNAcentral